RNAcentral lists this ribosomal RNA (497 nucleotides) under uncultured bacterium. RNAcentral describes it as "partial 16S ribosomal RNA". It matches the Rfam family "Bacterial small subunit ribosomal RNA", at positions 28 to 507 of the family's 1533-position model. The record is from RNAcentral.
GAUGAACGCUGGCGGCGUGCCUAAUACAUGCAAGUCGAGCGAACGGACGAGAAGCUUGCUUCUCUGAUGUUAGCUGCGGACGGGUGAGUAACACGUGGAUAACCUACCUAUAAGACUGGGAUAACUUCGGGAAACCGGAGCUAAUACCAGAUGAUAUUUUUAACCGCAUGGUUCAAAAGUGAGAGACGGUCUUGCUGUCACUGAUAGAUGGAUCCGCGCUGCAUUAGCUAGUUGGUAAGGUAACGGCUUACCAAGGCAACGAUGCGUAGCCGACCUGAGAGGGUGAUCGGCCACACUGGAACUGAGACACGGUCCAGACUCCUACGGGAGGCAGCAGUAGGGAAUCUUCCGCAAUGGGCGAAAGCCUGACGGAGCAACGCCGCGUGAGUGAUGAAGGUCUUCGGAUCGUAAAACUCUGUUAUUAGGGAAGAACAUAUGUGUAAGUAACUGUGCACAUCUUGACGGUACCUAAUCAGAAAGCCACGGCUAACUACGUG